AGAGUUUGAUCCUGGCUCAGGACGAACGCUGGCGGCGUGCUUAAUACAUGCAAGUCGAACGAGGUUCAUCCGGUGGCAACACCGGAGAAGACCUAGUGGCGAACGGGUGAGUACCACGUGAGCAACCUGCCCCGAAGACUGGGAUAACACCGGGAAACCGGUGCUAAUACCGGAUGCCCCCACCGGACCGCAUGGUCUGGUGAGGAAAUGGAUUCCGCUUCGGGAGGGGCUCGCGGCCUAUCAGCUUGUUGGUGAGGUAACGGCUCACCAAGGCUUCGACGGGUAGCUGGUCUGAGAGGACGAUCAGCCACACUGGGACUGAGACACGGCCCAGACUCCUACGGGAGGCAGCAGUAGGGAAUCUUGCGCAAUGGGCGAAAGCCUGACGCAGCAACGCCGCGUGGGGGACGAAGGCUUUCUGAGUUGUAAACCCCUUUCAGCAGGGACGAUCGUGACGCUACCUGCAGAAGAAGCACCGGCCAACUACGUGCCAGCAGCCGCGGUGAUACGUAGGGUGCAAGCGUUGUCCGGAAUUAUUGGGCGUAAAGAGCUCGUAGGCGGUUCGAUAAGUCGGGUGUGAAACCCCCAGGCUCAACCUGGGGCCGCCACCCGAUACUGUCGUGACUAGAGUCCGGUAGGGGACCAUGGAAUUCCUGGUGUAGCGGUGAAAUGCGCAGAUAUCAGGAGGAACACCAGCAGCGAAGGCGGUGGUCUGGGCCGGAACUGACGCUGAGGAGCGAAAGCGUGGGGAGCGAACAGGAUUAGAUACCCCCGUAGUCC
RNAcentral lists this ribosomal RNA (780 nucleotides) under uncultured bacterium. RNAcentral's name for it is "bacterial SSU rRNA". It matches the Rfam family "Bacterial small subunit ribosomal RNA", at positions 8 to 796 of the family's 1533-position model. The record is from RNAcentral.